GAACUUGGCCAGAGAGUCCCAGCACAGCCCUGGUAUGGUGUGCCAGUGCCUGGCCUUGGAUUUUUUCCUCUCUCUUUCCCCCCCUGCUCCGUCUGCUCUGCUCACAGCAGCACCUCAGUCCAGUCCCACCACUGCACCCUCGGCCUGGCACGGGGCUGGGGUGGCUCUGCCCCAUCCCACAGAGAUGGGUGGCUUUUCCUAGAAGCAAGAGGUCGAAGUCCCUCUGCCUCACAGGACACGUGGCAUCAAAGUGGCAGCCAAGGCGCCUUCCUGAGCUCUGGGGCUAUUCCUGCUCCUUGCACUGGCAACACUGAGCCUAAACCUGCCCUGUCCCCUCCCAAAGGGGCUGCAGUGCCCCUCAAAACACUCCUGCCCUCCUUCCCACUGCCUUCACUCCUCUGCCAACCUGAGAAACCCAUCCAGACCUGGCCACCUCAAGCUCUCUGUCCCCCUGCCAGCCUCCUGCCACCCUGCUCCCUGCCACCUCUGUCCCUCUGUGACCCUCCUGAACCCUGGGGUUGCUUUCCUCAGACUCUGCCCUUGCAGUUGCAGCUUCAGGACUGGGCACUCUGCCUUGGCUUACUUUGGGCUGCAGCCACAAAAAUACCAGACCCAGCCCCUUAUCCUGGCACCCUCCUGUCCUCUGUCCCCUCUCUGUCUUCUCUGUCCCAAACUCUGCUCACUGACAGCUUGGCUCUGCAUUGCUCAAUGUGUUUUUCCCUGCACAAGUCACCUCCCCGGCCACUUCCCACAGGAUGCAGGAGAGCGGACGGAGCAGUUUGGAACAGUCAUUGCAGAAAACAGGCAAAAAAAAAAGGUGAAGGAAAAAAAAAAAUUAAAAAAUAUCCUGAAACAAGGAAAAUGUACAUAUACAAAAUGAAUCAAGCAAAUCUGCCCUCACUGCUCUCGACUCAUAACUCCUCAGCAAGCGACCACAGUGGGGACACUGAGCCUGGGCCACCCCCAAGUGCAAUUCCGGAAAGCACACACAGAGCUCAGGGGAUCCCCCACAAAACCCAGCCAGAGAUGGAGACAUCCCAAACCUUUCCUCAAACAAGACACUUCCCGUGCAGGGUGGGAGGGGAGCACCUGGGCGCUGCAAAGGGCAAUCAGCCUGAUUACAAGCAUGGUGUCUUUUUAAAAAGUAUUAAAAAGCACUUUCAUUAA
RNAcentral lists this long non-coding RNA (1167 nucleotides) under Zosterops lateralis melanops. RNAcentral describes it as "lncRNA (ENSZLMG00000005734.1)". Lineage: Eukaryota; Metazoa; Chordata; Aves; Passeriformes; Zosteropidae. The record is from RNAcentral.